This 253-nucleotide ribosomal RNA is filed under the name uncultured bacterium. Its description in RNAcentral is "partial 16S ribosomal RNA". It matches the Rfam family "Bacterial small subunit ribosomal RNA", at positions 524 to 776 of the family's 1533-position model. The record is from RNAcentral.
UACGUAGGGUGCGAGCGUUAAUCGGAAUUACUGGGCGUAAAGCGUGCGCAGGCGGUGAUGUAAGACAGAUGUGAAAUCCCCGGGCUUAACCUGGGAAUGGCAUUUGGGACUGCAAGGCUGGAGUGCGGCAGAGGAGACUGGAAUUCCUGGUGUAGCAGUGAAAUGCGUAGAUAUCAGGAGGAAUACCGAUGGCGAAGGCAGGUCUCUGGGCUGACACUGACGCUCAUGCACGAAAGCGUGGGGAGCAAACAGG